CACAAAGUUUGGGUGCUUCUCUGAAUUUUUUCCCAUCAGUAAGACUCCUCUGAUCUUUAGGGCAAGCAAAAAUGACACUGUGGAUAAGCCUCAUAUUGUUAUCACUAGUCCUCAGAGGUGUCCAGUCAGAGGUCCAGUUGGUGGAGUCCGGAGGGGACGUGAGAAGACCUGGAGAGUCCCUCCAUCUCUCCUGCCAAGCUUCCGGAUACACCUUCAGCAGCUACUGGAUGCAUUGGGUGAGGCAGUAUCCAGGGAAAGGACUGGAAUGGGUCGCAGGCAUAAACCCCAGUUCCGGUGCUAUUUACUACUCAGACAAAGUCAAGGGACGCUUCACCAUCUCCAGGGACAAUUAUAGUUGCUACUUCUCAUCUUUCACACUGGAAGGCAGCAUUGGCUCCGGAUUCACCUUCAGCAGCUACUGGAUGCAUUGGGUGAGGCAGUAUCCGGGGAAAGGACUGGAAUGCGUGGCAUACAUAAACCCCCGUUCCAGCCCUAUUUACUACUCAGACAAGGUCAAGGGACGCUUCACCAUCUCCAGGGACAAUGCCAAAAGCCAGCUGUAUCUUCAAAUGAACAGCCUCAAGCUGGAGGACACCGGACUCUAUUACUGCACGAGAGACACAGUGAGAAGAAGUGAAUCUGAAGCCUGGAAAAAACUGCCCGUUCCUCAGAGCAGCUCUGCGAGUUCAUCCAUGAACCAGAGCUUCAACUGCUAUGCCAAAAUUGUGAAGAAUCAUGCCUAA
Non-coding RNA from Python bivittatus (Burmese python), 743 nucleotides. The record is from the annotation of a RefSeq genome assembly. NCBI's taxonomy places the organism in Eukaryota, Metazoa, Chordata, Lepidosauria, Squamata, Pythonidae.